AGAAUCAACGCUGGCGGCGUGCCUAACACAUGCAAGUCGCACGAGAAAGGGGAGCAAUCCCUGAGUAAAGUGGCGCACGGGUGAGUAACACGUGAAUAAUCUACCUCCGAGUGGGGAAUAACUGAGAGAAAUCUUAGCUAAUACCGCAUAACACUUACGAGUCAAAGCAGCAAUGCGCUUGGAGAGGAGUUCGCGGCCGAUUAGUUAGUUGGCGGGGUAAUGGCCCACCAAGACGAUGAUCGGUAUCCGGCCUGAGAGGGCGCACGGACACACUGGAACUGAAACACGGUCCAGACUCCUACGGGAGGCAGCAGUGGGGAAUUUUGCGCAAUGGGGGAAACCCUGACGCAGCAACGCCGCGUGGAGGAUGGAAGCCCCUUGGGGGUGUAAACUCCUUUCGAUCGGGAAGAUAAUGACGGUACCGAUAUAAGAAGCCCCGGCUAACUUCGUGCCAGCAGCCGC
RNAcentral lists this ribosomal RNA (462 nucleotides) under uncultured bacterium. RNAcentral describes it as "SSU rRNA". It matches the Rfam family "Bacterial small subunit ribosomal RNA", at positions 26 to 518 of the family's 1533-position model. The record is from RNAcentral.